This 305-nucleotide ribosomal RNA is filed under the name uncultured bacterium. RNAcentral describes it as "bacterial SSU rRNA". It matches the Rfam family "Bacterial small subunit ribosomal RNA", at positions 333 to 636 of the family's 1533-position model. The record is from RNAcentral.
CCACCUACGGGACGCAGCAGUGAGGAAUAUUGGUCAAUGGGCUUACGCCUGAACCAGCCAAGUCGCGUGAGGGAAGACUGCCCUAUGGGUUGUAAACCUCUUUUGUCAGGGAGCAACGCCGGCUACGUGUAGCCGGACUGAGAGUACCUGAAGAAAAAGCAUCGGCUAACUCCGUGCCAGCAGCCGCGGUAAUACGGAAGGUCCGGGCGUUAUCCGGAUUUAUUGGGUUUAAAGGGAGCGCAGGCCGCCCCUUAAGCGUGUUGUGAAAUGCCGCGGCUCAACCGUGGCACUGCAGCGCGAACUGG